RNAcentral lists this long non-coding RNA (438 nucleotides) under Mus spicilegus (steppe mouse). RNAcentral's name for it is "lncRNA (ENSMSIG00000005322.1)". The record is from RNAcentral. Lineage: Eukaryota; Metazoa; Chordata; Mammalia; Rodentia; Muridae.
AUGAGGGGGUGGAGGCUGGGAUGGCCCUUGGCAGCCCCUCCCUCCGGUGCCGAAUCUGGCCUGUUCACCCGGCUAGCUUCUUCCUUCACCUCCUGCUUUCUCCAUUUCCAAACCAUUUCAGGGGAAGGGAGUUUGAUUCAUCAGAGUCCACACCGCGGUGACCGCUACCAUCAUCUGGGGGGCUGGGGAGACAAGUGUGCACAGCGCCACCUAGGCCCAGAUGCAGGAAGCACAACUCCUGCAAGACUUGAGGACUGUUCUGUUUCAGAGAACCUGAUGGAGCAGGUUCCCACAGUGCCUUGCCACUCGGUCUCAGAAAGGCCAGCGCCUCCUGGAGGACAUGUGUGCCAAUUUGCCUGCUGCCUUGCACCUUCUACAGCAGCUGAGACCUGGCAGAUCUUCAAAAUGCUGCUCGAACAAUGGCCAAUGGGAAGCUAG